Molecule: ribosomal RNA, 301 nt
Filed under: uncultured bacterium
Lineage: Bacteria
Description: partial 16S ribosomal RNA
Rfam family: Bacterial small subunit ribosomal RNA
Source: RNAcentral
CAGUAGCCGCGGUAAUACGAAGGGGGCUAGCGUUGUUCGGAAUUACUGGGCGUAAAGCGCACGUAGGCGGAUAUUUAAGUCAGGGGUGAAAUCCCGCAGCUCAACUGCGGAACUGCCUUUGAUACUGGGUAUCUUGAGUAUGGAAGAGGUAAGUGGAAUUGCGAGUGUAGAGGUGAAAUUCGUAGAUAUUCGCAGGAACACCAGUGGCGAAGGCGGCUUACUGGUCCAUUACUGACGCUGAGGUGCGAAAGCGUGGGGAGCAAACAGGAUUAGAUACCCGAGUAGUCCCUGUCUCUUAUAC